This 147-nucleotide unclassified non-coding RNA is filed under the name uncultured Amanita. Its description in RNAcentral is "sequence contains ITS2". The record is from RNAcentral. Lineage: Eukaryota; Fungi; Basidiomycota; Agaricomycetes; Agaricales; Amanitaceae.
AACUAUCAAAACACUUUUUCUCGAGGUGUUUUGGACUUUGGGAGCACUGUGCUGGUCUCUGUUUGAGCCAGCUCUCCUCAAAAGCAUUAACUUUGAGACCAUCAGUGUGAUAAUUUGUUUGCACUGGCUUCUCUUUUUUAACUGCCC